RNAcentral lists this ribosomal RNA (499 nucleotides) under uncultured bacterium. RNAcentral's name for it is "partial 16S ribosomal RNA". It matches the Rfam family "Bacterial small subunit ribosomal RNA", at positions 28 to 507 of the family's 1533-position model. The record is from RNAcentral.
GACGAACGCUGGCGGCGUGCUUAACACAUGCAAGUCGAACGGGCCCGCUCUCUUUUUUGGGGGUGGGUUGAGUGGCGAACGGGUGAGUAUCACGUGAGUAACCUGCCCCCUGCUCCUGGAUAACUGCUUGAAAGGGCGGCUAAUACGGGGUGUGCCGGCUGGUCCGCAUGGGCCUGGUCGGGAUAGUUUCAUCUUCGGGUGUUUCGGUGGGGGAUGGGCUCGCGGCCUAUCAGCUUGUUGGUGGGGUGAUGGCCCACCAAGGCGGUGGCGGGUAGCCGGCCUGAGAGGGUGGGCGGCCACGCUGGGACUGAGACACGGCCCAGACUCCUGCGGGAGGCAGCAGUGGGGGGUAUUGCACAAUGGGCGGAAGCCUGAUGCAGCGACGUCGCGUGAGGGAUGGAGGCCUUCGGGUUGUGAACCUCUUUCUCCGGUGGUGAAGGCCCUGUCCGUUGCGGCGGGGUUGACGGUAGCCGGGUAUGAAGCGCCGGCUAACUACGUG